GGGGUGUAGGCGAUAUAAGGUCAGCCUUCCAGGAGAUGAACACGGAAAAUGGGUAUUAGGUAUAUUGAGGAAUACACCAAAUACACCAGGGGCUGUGAAUGAUGCAAACUUUUCAGCCAGGUCACACCAUACACUGAUGCCCAGAAGGUACAUGUCCCCAGAAGAGCCUCAGUCCAUCAUGGUGUACAGUCGCUGUUCAGUGUACACCAGAAGCAUGGCAAAUCGUGCUUCACAGUAUGAGGUCCCCUAAUGAUAAUAUGGAAGAAAAUAAAAGCGACAAAACCCUUUCCAUAUUCAUAAGAAAUCUCUGUCAAAAACAGUCGAUUGCACGAUUCUGACUUAAUCAUGAGCAUGUGUUAAAGAAUCGCUAUCAAAUAGUGAUGAUACCAGGUGUUUGCGAAAGGUUAGAUUAUCCUGCCCCACCGGUGUCAGAAGAAAUUCCUGGUGUUGAGAUCCAUUUUCAUUGUGUGCAAAUUGUGUUUAUUCUCAUGCAGAGCUACAAAUCAUAACAUAUUAGUGUGUCUUGUGAGGUACAGUGCUUCCUACAACAAGAGAACUAUUUUGAAAUAGUCAACCAGUGCACUAACAAGUUGCCACUAAGCAUUCAGCCAGUGCUUGUGCUAUUUUCUUCAGUCUUUCUCCCCGGCCUUCGCCCUUGCCCCAGACUACCUCAUCCAGCAUCAGCCACCCUGUAUUACAGAAACUUAUAAAACGAAACAGCAAAGGCUGAUUGUUGUCGGAGACCAUAAAACAAGAUUUCAAUGAAAAAAGUUUAUUUUAGUGAGCAUAGAGAAAAACAGUAAAUACAUCAGAUGGAAAUCGUUCACGAAUCACCUUGACAACACAAGAUUGAAUAAUUCUGAUUCUUCAACUAUUUCUGGAAAUACAAAUCUGAACCUCUUGUUUAUGAGGUGAAGAUAGAUUCUGAAAUAAAAGAGUGUCUUUUUUUAGUCGCUCAGUACAAAACAUUACAAAAAUCAUACAAUUUAAAUAUAUAUUUUUGUCAUUCAAUCUGGAGGGAAGCCUAUAGAAGAAGCAACUUAUACUGAUGAUAUAUGCAUAUUUUUUUAUACCAUGUUAAUAUUUUAAUAAAACAGUUUAUAGUUUUCUAUCAUAGUGACUUGAUGUGUUUAUUACUAUUGGUGGGGCGGUCGGGUAGCCUAGUGGUUAAAGCGUUCGCUCGUCACGCCGAA
Haliotis rufescens (red abalone) is the source of this 1193-nucleotide long non-coding RNA. RefSeq lists it as uncharacterized. The record is from RefSeq and is a predicted model, not a curated record. NCBI's taxonomy places the organism in Eukaryota, Metazoa, Mollusca, Gastropoda, Lepetellida, Haliotidae. The transcript is spliced from 3 exons.